AUUGGUGGGAAUGCAAAAAUGGUGCAUCCACUAUGAAAAACAGUGUGGAGAGUCCUCAAAAAAUUAAAAAUAGAACUGCAUAUGAUCAAUCUCAGCACAAGACAAAUACUGCAUGAUGCCACUUGUAUGAGGUAUCUAAAAUAUUAACACUCAUAAAAUAGAAUGUUAUUGCCAGGGCUGGGGGGAGGAGAAAUGAGGAGUUACUAAUCAAUGGGCAUAAAGUCUUAAGAUUAAUAAAUUCUAAAGAUUUGCUGUCAAAAUUGUCUCUAUAGUUUACAGUACUGUAUUUUAUACUUAAAAAUUUGUUAAGAGGAUAGAUCUUAUAUAUUAAGAGGUCUUACUGCAAUAAAAAAGAAAGGAAAAAAGUAACAAACUUUUACCUGAUCAUACAGCUCAAAAGCCUUAUUGAACUCUUUCCCACACAUUUUGAUUCCCUAAAGACAGAGAAGAGAGUAAAUGUUAAAAUGUUAUUACUAUGUUUCCGUAUGUUUCCCUUGACAAGUCUCCCACAGUCUAGCUUUUCAAGGAAAAAUUAUUUAAGGUACUAAAAAGUUAAGUACCUGGAAUUUAAGAAGAAAAUUCUCCUGCACUGGUAGUAACCUUUUGAGAGAAAAACAUUAUAUUAAUAUAUUACAUUUUUUGAAAAGGAUCCACUUAUAACAUUUUUCAUGGUUCCUAAACUCACCUGGCCAUCUCAGUUAAUUCCAGCUUCCCAUCAUUAUUUGAAUCAAAUAGUUUCAGCUGAAAGACAGAAUGCCAUUAUUCUAGCUAUUUGAGGAAUAAUUUAUUGCAUGAAGGAGAUGAACUUCAAAAUAAAGCUGUUUGAGUUAUCAACUACUUGUAUAUAUAUAUAGUAAAAUUUUAAAAACUAACGUUUUUAAAACUUUCAAUGCAAAUUUCCAAUUCUGUAAUGUGUCAAUUGCUAGAGUUUAUCAGAAUAAUAUAGAAUAGUCAAAAAGAGAAAUAGUGGUUUUAGCUAUGUUUCUAGAAUACUGUCACUUUUUUAUUGCAAAUACGUUUAUAUGUGUAUCAAGAUGUGGGAGGGAUGGUGUCUGACAGUUUUUGCACUUCUGGAGUGUCUCCAAUAAGAAAAUAAAUAUUUAUUUCACCCUUUUAGAGCAUAGAAUAGCACAAACAGAAGCAGAAAACAGAUAACAAAUAAAUCCUUAGAGAAUAUAAUUUUUGAAUAAUUUUGAAUUGUUUUAUUUUCUAUUGGGCAUUAGAAACUCCAUAAAGCUCUCCAACUCUCCAUUGCACUUAUGUAUACAUCAUUCACAAAGACACAUCCAGAUGUAAACACUCAUACCCGUAUUUGGGAAGCUUUCAUCUUUUUAGACAGUAGCAACUAUUGCUAUAAUGUGUUAUACCAAAGUAGUAUAUAUGAAUUACAUUAAAUAUAUAAAAUGUGUAUACUAAAUGAACAUUAAAUAUGUGAAAAAUUAGCAUUAUUUUUGUUUUAAAAGAACAGAAUGUGUCCAGUGCUAUAAUGGAUACAGAUUUAGUGACAUCUUUUUAAGGAGGAAAGGAAAGGCAUUCUAUGGUUUGAGAUGUUCUAAGAAUCUUUUGUAGGAGGCAGAUUUUUUCAGGGUCCCAUGCUGACAAAACAUUUUAUAAUCCAUUGACCAUAAAUUCUGAUAUUGUCACACUAUCAAGAUGCUGGACAGCUCAAUCACUUAGUUUUGUGCCCAUGGGGAAAUAUUUCCCAACAUAUAUAUUUAAAUUUUAAUUAGCUCUUGAUUAAUUUGCUUCCUGGAUUUGAACUGGUUUAUGACAUUUAAUCAGAUAUGUCAGGCCAAUCCAACAGAGGAAAACUCCCAUCUGAGUGGAUUUUGAAAGGCUGCUUCAAUAUUGUACCUGGAAAGGUGCCUUUCUUUAAAUAGGUAUCCCUUAAGAUUGGAACAAAAUAGAAAAUUGAUAAAUGUAGGUUAUUGUCCAUUACCCAAAAGUUAUUCAGAGCUUAGACCUGCUGAUUGUGACACAUAGCAAGAUACUCUCCUCCAUUUGUUUGCUAAUGCUAUUGUAAGUGGAGAUGUAAUGAGGAAUUAAAGAUGACCAUGAAAACCUUUUUGGUUGUUUUGAAACUAAAGCUUAGCUCCACUUUAUAAUAAAUAACACUAGUUGGUGAAUAAGGCAAUAGUAAAGUUCUAGUAGUUCCCCACUUCAACCCAGAUAAAAGUAAGCUGAGAUGCUGAAAGCAAACCUCAGUUACAUCAAGUAUAAUCAAACCCUUUAUUAGAUUGUUUCUCAGAGUAAUUAAAAAGUCUAACUCCUUCUUCCAUCUAAUAUAACAGUAGCUUUUAUAGUAUAGAGCUAUGUUUAUGGUUUAUUGAUUUAAACUCAUGGAGUAAGAAUUCACAGUACUGAAAGCAUGUAUAAAUAUAUGUAUCUCCUGGUAAUCCAAAUUCUGUGAUGAGUCAAAAUGAGCAAACUUCGUCCAAUAGAAACAAACUAACUUCAUAGACAUUGGUUUAUUUUAUCUGGAACCUUAUUUAUUUGCUUUUUUUCUCUCUCUCUCUCUCAAACAGUAGGUGCCUUUGUGUAAAGCAGUUUUCUUGGCUCUAUUAUCAACAUUCUAUAAUUGAUCUUAGUUAUCACUGUUUAGCAUAGCAUUAGCCUCAGGGCAUAUUUAGAUUUCCUUAUUCAAAGCACCAAUACAAAACCCCAAAACAACAAAAAUCAAAAGAAAGAAGGAGACCCAUUUUAAGUUGCUUAAUUAAUAAAGUAGCUAGACAGUCCUUUAAACUCUUUAACAAAGUGUGAUUUCCCAAAGUAUGAUAAAAAUGGAUUUAGGACCUCUAUAAUAAGUGAGUUUUUGGUGAUAUAAUUUAUAAAUAUAGUGUACCUUAUAUAUGUGUAAGUUAUAUAAUUUAGUGAUAUAAUUACACUGGCUUUGGAAGAAAAACAAGUCAUCUUUUGAUAGAUAAAAAUUACAUAGCUCUACAAUGAAGAAAAUGCUCAUAUGUUGAGUCUUAAAGCCAAUGCCUGCAGAACUCAAAAUGACAAGAUGUAAGCAUCCCUAAGUAUUUCACUUUUCAAAUGAAAUGACACCUAUAUGCAUAUGAUGCCCACACCACCGUUUAUUUCAUCCUGUGUAGCCUUGGGAGUUAGCAAGAACAUCAUACUACUUCAUGAGCUCUUGGGUACAAUCUUUUCAAGAUCAGUCUUACCAUUAGGUCUGUAUACUCGGCUAAUUUUGUGUCAUCAACAGUCUUGUUUGCUUUUUCUAGUAGGUCCUUUAGAAAGUUCUGUCAAAACAAAGAACACUUAGAUUAAUUUCAUUAAUAAUAUAUCAUCUACUUUCAUUUCAGAAUGCCUUGGAACAGGACAUACCAGGAAUGCCAAGAAAGUCUCUUUUUGAGGGUAGAAGCAGGUGAGUAGAGGGACUUAUAAUAGAAGAAAGACUAAACCAGGUGGUCCUCCUGGCAUUCCAGCAACGAAUCUACCUUUGACAGGAAAAUACCUGCUUUUUACUGAGACUUGAUUGGUCAUUGUCUGUGCAUUACCAUGAUUUUAUGAUUUCAGUUUAUCUGAAUAAACCCUUUUAAAACCAGCCAGCCCAAUGGAUGUAUUUCUUCUUGCUGAUAUCUUCACAAGUACUCAUGGGAUUGUUCUGCAAGAAACACAAGGGCCUUUAUACCUUUGGAAUAUGUGUGAAAAAAUAUCAGUAAACCUGAUAGAGAUCUAUUUCUAAUUUCAAAUCCAUUUUCUGCCCCCCAGGCUGUAUUUACACAUCAGUUUAUAGCCAGCAUGAUGCUUGUUUCUCCAGAGGGCCAGUUGGAUAGUUUUUGGCUUGAUGCAGUCCAAAGCGCUUUAGUUAAAAUGCUUCCACUGACUAUUUAAAUUAACAAAAUUGGCCACAGAUGAUGUCAUUGAAUCUUUGAAAGAUAUAUGAAUCAUAUUAAAAUAGAGAUUAAUGUGGGAAGAUGAAAAAAAGAUGAUUAUUAUCUUGACAGCUGGAGCUUAGGAGUGAAUUUAUUUUUUUUAACAGAAACGUAAAUCAAAUAAAAGCUUUACAAAGAUUUGCAAUAUAAGUGACAGUGUAAGCACUUAAGCAUAUAAUAGUCAUUCAUUUUGUUUAGUGCUAUUCAUUCGUAACUCCUUUAUUUUCUCAGAAAAUGAAUUAACGCAAUUAGGUAAAACUAGGCAGAUACUGUGCCCAGAUAUUAUUGAAGGAUUAGAUUUCUUCGAUUCAGCAAUGACUUAUCUCCCUCCUAAAUGUUCCAGUUCUGGGCUGAUUUGAUGUCACCUUUUUAAAGGAAAGAGACUCUUUUCUUAGUUUGACAAAUUUUUUUACAUCAAAUAUUCCACUUCAAAUCCAAAGUGAAGCAUGGAAAAUUCAAAGUUAUCUGUUGGGGUUGAAUUUUAUUUUUGAGCCUUAUGGGGCUUUUGUCAGAGAUUAAUUGGGUUAAAAAGCCUCAUCAGAGACUAAAAUGGUGGUCACAAAAAUAGCCUGGGAGAAACCUUGGCACGCAGAGAUUGAAAGUUGUGUCUGAGAGCAAGUGAUGUUUUACUCCAUUAUGGAUCUUAAAAUUAGCUUUCUUGAAAGAUCCAUUAAAAAAGAAUGCCAACUUAUCUUCAAAAUUCCCCAGGGAAGAGGACUUCUAUUUAGAAUCUCUUUCAGAGAAUAAAAUUUAGAACAAAGAAGGAGACUUUUAGAAUAUUUAGAGGUCAGUAUUGGAAAUGAGCUAAGGUUUUCAUUAUUAACUAAAAAGGAUCUUUAAAAGAAUAUUUUUGGUCUAAUAAAAUAAAAACACAGUAGCUUAACUGUCACCUUGUGGGUUGUUGAGCUGCAAGUUUGUAAAAUACAUUGUUUUUAGUGACUUCACAUUAAAAACGUUUACAUUUUCAAGAGGAUACAACUGAAUAUGGUUUAGCCAUUUUGCCAUGGCCCAAAUGUCCCAGUUUCAUCUUUAAAAUUGUAUGCUACUCAAACCAUGUUGAACUAUGACUAGAACUGUUUGAUAUUCAUAUUUCCCCACAUAGCAAAAAAGCAGCUCUUAAUAAAUGAAGUCUGAAAGCAUGUAGUGCUGUGGGGGGUGGGAGGGAAUCAUUCUUAGCAUUACCAGAUAUUCUAGGUCCAAAUCUAGGUUCUGUUCCUAGGCAGCUGUGUAAUCUUGAAAAAUCAUCAAAUCUGUCUGCAUUCCAAUCUCACUGUUUUUAUAUUAGGAGUGAUAAUACCUGCCUUGCAUAUUUUUCUGUGAGGAUUAAAUUUUAAAAUACAUUCCAAGCACCUUGUACUCUGCCUGGCACAUAGCAAAUAUUAACUCACUUAUAUUUUAGUCACUCUGUGUUCUAAAAAUAGAAAAAGUAGGGUCUUUAAGAUGGAGAUGUUUUGGAGUCGGUUUGAGGAAAUGAGAAGAAUACUUCCAUAUUCCUGAAAGGCUAGUAAAUUGAGUUCAUGAAUACUACAAUUUAUACGUUGCAUGUCACAAAAGCUUUCAUGUGCAGAAUCUUACUGGAGCUUCACAAUAAGCAUGAGAGGAAGGAUUUAUUACCCUCAUUUUAAAGAUUAAAGAAAAUUGGAAAGAUGUAGUAAUUAAUGAGGUAAGACUUGAUUUCAGAUCUCUGUCUUUUCCUUUAUAUCCUCCUCUGUGAUAUCUGAAGUGAUAAAUUCAUUUUCUAAGUUGCAGUUUUUCAAAAGUUUAAUUAUAGAAGAAUUUUUAUUUUUUAUCAUUGUUGAGAGACAGUAGGUUGUAUAGAAUGUUUACAGGCCUUGGAGGCAGACAAGCCUGGAUUUGCACAUCAAGGCUCUGUCUGAUUUCUGUGUGGCCUUCAGUAUAUCACUUAACUUCUCUCAACUCUUCCUCACUGGGGUAAUACAAUCUCAUACAACUUAUGCAUUAUGAUUAAAUAAGACAUUAUGUGUAAAGUAGUUAGCAUACAGUAGCUAUUCAGUAACUUUUCUUUCUUUUGUAAGGAAAUUUAUUUAUAUGUGUUUAUUUUGAUAACUAAAACUACAAAUUUCAAUACAAUGAAUGGAUUUUUCGGCUUAUCUAUAAUUCUAUCUGUCUGUCUGUCUUAUAUUUGUGUAUGCCAUAGAAAAUGUUAAUUUCUUGCAUUACUUUACAGAAUUUCAAGAAGCAAUUGAAGUUGCUUUUUUGAUCUGGUACUUCAUUAACAAUGUCGAAGAGUAGGUGAAAAUGUGACACUGUUCAACAUUAGUUUCUUUUGUGGGAGGUUUUUUAAAAAGCUAGGAAACUCUUAGUUCAUAAUUGCAUUUGAAAGGAAAAACUUAGCACAAGUUUUUAUUUGCUUACCUUAAGCUCCUCAGUUUCUAUGAAGCCACUGUGGUCAGUAUCAUAUUUUCUCCAUGUCUGCAAGUAAUUUUGGGUAAGGAAAACAAACACAUUGUUAAUAAAAGGAACAAUUUCCUACUUUAAGCAGCUUUCUUAAAGGGGCGGCUUUCUUAUACCUUCAUGAAUUCUUCACAGGACUUCAGCUGCUGGCAUCGGAAGAGCAGCAGGAAAUUCUCUUCUGUGGGUAAUAUGUGAGCCAACUGGAAAAGAUGUAAAAAGAGAGAAACAUGUUAAAAAAGGAUUCCAUAUCCCAUUUUAUGACUAAUCUAUUGCGUGCGGAGAAGGAAGAGCUGGAUUGAUGGCCCCACUGCAGAUGUGAGAUCUAUUUCUGGCACAGUAGCUAAUUAGCUGUGGUCCCCAGCAACCCCGAGCCAUUUCUGGACUUCAGUACCCUCAUCACUAAAACAAGGACUUGAAAUAGAAGCCAGUGUUUCUUGAAUAUAUUGGGUUCAAAACGCCUUCUGUUGGAAGCACUGCAUUUUCACCAUUAAAGAAAGAAUCUACGCA
Molecule: non-coding RNA, 6803 nt
Organism: Macaca mulatta (Rhesus monkey)
Lineage: Eukaryota; Metazoa; Chordata; Mammalia; Primates; Cercopithecidae
Source: RefSeq, a predicted model, not a curated record